UGGGGAAUAUUGGACAAUGGGCGGAAGCCUGAUCCAGCAACGCCGCGUGAGGGAUGACGGCCUUCGGGUUGUAAACCUCUUUCAGUACCGACGAAGCGAAAGUGACGGUAGGUACAGAAGAAGGACCGGCCAACUACGUGCCAGCAGCCGCGGUAAUACGUAGGGUCCGAGCGUUGUCCGGAAUUAUUGGGCGUAAAGGGCUCGUAGGCGGUUUGUCACGUCGGGAGUGAAAACAGCGGGCUUAACUCGUUGCUUGCUUUCGAUACGGGCAGACUAGAGGUAUGCAGGGGAGAAUGGAAUUCCUGGUGUAGCGGUGAAAUGCGCAGAUAUCAGGAGGAACACCGGUGGCGAAGGCGGUUCUCUGGGCAUUACCUGACGCUGAGGAGCGAAAGUGUGGGGAGCGAACAGGAUUAGAUACCCUGGUAGUCCACACCGUAAAACGUUGGGCGCUAGGUGUGGGGUCCUUUCCACGGAUUCCGUGCCGUAGCUAACGCAUUAAGCGCCCCGCCUGGGGAGUACGGCCGCAAGGCU
Molecule: ribosomal RNA, 531 nt
Filed under: uncultured bacterium
Lineage: Bacteria
Description: partial 16S ribosomal RNA
Rfam family: Bacterial small subunit ribosomal RNA
Source: RNAcentral